UUUUUUUGUUCGGGAAAACUUUAAAUACCCCCACGUGGUUUCACUUUUUCUCACUUGAGUGCCCUGUGGUUUAAAGUGUAUCAAGUUAGUAUCCUGUGGUUUUGCACUUUUUCACUUUAGUAUAUUGUUUUCACUUUAGUAUCCUGUGGUUUAAAGUGUAUCAAAUUAAUACCCUGUGGUUUCGCACUUUAUCAGUUUAGUACCCUGUGGUUUCGUACUUUAUCACUUUAGUAUCCUGUGGUUUAAAAACCACAAGGUACUAACUUGAUACAAAAAUAAAACCACAGAAUACUAACUUGAUGCAAAAAUAAAAUUAUACAGUGCUAACUUGAUACACUUUAAACCACAAGGUACUAAAGUGAUAAAGUGAGAAACCACAGAGUACUAACUUGAUACACUUUAAACCAAAGGGUACUAAAAUAAAAAGUAUGAAACUAUACGGGGGUUUUUGAAGUUUUUGUUGUUGUUGUUGUUGUUCUCAGUGUUGA
Molecule: long non-coding RNA, 488 nt
Filed under: Ananas comosus (pineapple)
Lineage: Eukaryota; Viridiplantae; Streptophyta; Magnoliopsida; Poales; Bromeliaceae
Description: long non-coding RNA (ACOM_LNC036115)
Source: RNAcentral